AAUAGUUUAUUGCUAUGUGUUUGCAAUAUUCUUAAUAUUCAAUCAAAUACUCCUCCAAUCUUUUUGUCUUGAAGCAGAAAUCAAUGGAUAAAUAAGAAAUACCAGAUGUGUUUAUUUGUUAUCAAGGAAAAGGCAAAAGAAAACAAAAAGUGGUUGGUGGUGGCCACUUCUGCAGUCUGCUUGAAAAUAGUGUAGUUGAAAUUUGCUUCAGGGAGAAAAUGGGAUCAGAUUCAUUUCUUUAUCAGGAUCUGAUUUAUUCUGGUAUUUGGUGAUCUUUCCACUUCCUUUUCCACCUCUCAGAGAAUAAAGAAAAAAGAAUUCCUCUGAACCAAAUUCUUGAAGCAAUGAGUAUCCAAUUUAUCUGUUUUUCAUAAAAAGCAGUUAACUGGUCUCUGCCAUACAUUUCUUUGGAGCUAAAUGGACCCUUAAUGGUAAAUCAAGCAAUGUUUCUUGAACUAAAAGUUUCAGAAACUACUUAGUCUAUUGUUGUGCUUUGUUGAUGCUUACUUUUCAGAAAUAAUAGAUAUUUUGGUCUUUUUAUCAGGAUUCUAGCCAGGAAAUGGGGCUAGAUUUUGUAGUUACUGUUUCAUCAUGUGCAUUCAUGAUCAUAAAAUAUCACCCACACUUAUGCCCAAUUGUUUUACAGGUUCUGAGGCAAUGUUUGCAGAUCUUUGCUAUUUCUCUGUAGGAUCUGUUCAGCUAACUUUUGUGUUUUUGGUUCUGCCCUGCCUUCUGUUGGGAUACCUUGGCCAAGCUGCAUUCCUUAUGGAAAAUCUAACUACCUCUGAGCAGGUCUUCUUUUCGUCCAUCCCAAGUUGGGCUUUUUGGCCAGUCCUUCUCGUAGCCAACAUUGCUGCAUUGAUUGCAAGUCGGACAAUGACAACAGCGACAUUUUCAUGCAUAAAACAAUCAACAGCGCUUGGUUGUUUUCCUCGUCUCAAAAUUAUUCACACAUCACGGAAGUUCAUGGGUCAGAUAUAUGUUCCGGUCAUAAAUUGGUUUCUGCUGGUCUUCUGCUUGGCAUUUGUUGCCACCUUUGGAAGCAUAACUGACAUUGGCAAUGCAUAUGGCACUGCAGAACUUGGAAUAAUGAUGAUGACAACAAUUCUAGUAACCAUCAUUAUGCUUCUAAUAUGGCAGAUUAACAUCUUCAUAGUGCUUUUGUUUGUCAUAUUCUUUCUGGGGCUGGAAUUAGUUUUCUUCACUUCUGUUUUGGGUAGUGCGGAGGCUGGAAGUUGGGUUUUGUUGAUUUUUGCAGCAAUAUUGUUUAUGAUAAUGUACAUAUGGACUUAUGGGAGCAAGCUAAAGUAUGAAUCCGAAGUUAAACAGAAGCUUUCAAUGGAUCUGAUGAUGGAGUUGGGCUGCAACCUUGGUACCAUUAGAGCCCCUGGUAUUAGCUUAGUUUACAAUGAGUUAGUGAAAGGAAUUCCAGCAAUAUUUGGACACUUUCUGACCACCCUUCCAGCAAUCCACUCUAUGAUCAUAUUUGUGUGCAUAAAAUAUGUGCCAGUUCCUGUAGUUCCUCAGAGCGAAAGGUUUCUCUUCCGGCGUGUCUGCCCAAAGAGCUAUCACAUGUUCCGUUGCAUCGCUAGAUGGAUGAUAAUGGGAGGGAGCCUGGUAAGGUGGAGUUUUAUAAGAUGACUCACACCCAUCGAGAUGGCAGUUUUGUUCGGGAGGAGGCAAGAGAUAUAGUUGACAGGGCAACAACUCUUAUUUCAGAGCGUGUCGGAGAGUCAUCAUCAUCCGACGCGACCAGUCAUAUCGAAGUUCAGGUGCUCACCGAAUUAUUGGGCCCAGAGCGUUAUGGUCGAGUGAGGGGUUAUGGCAUUGGAGUUACCCCCACUCAGUUGUCUGCAGUGGGAAUGUAUACAAGAAAUGUUGGAGAAGGUAGUAGCAAUGCAGAAGUUAGUAGACUUCGGGCAACAAUUGAAGAUAUGAAGGAUCGCCAUCAGGCAGAGUUGGCGGAGCUGAAGCAGAACCAACAAACUUUGCAGUCUCAGCUUGAGCAUAUUUCAUCUAUGUUGCGGCGAUUUCUCCCUUCUCAGAUUUCUGAUACUUCAACAGCUCGUAGAGAUGAUGAUGGUGCUGAAUCCGGUCACUGAUAUUUUUGAGACCGUUAUCUAAGGAGUUUUAUAUGUAUCUUUCUUAUAUUUUUCAAAAUACAUUGUAAUUUUGAACUUAUUAUAUAAAUUUCAUCAUAUAUGACAAUAUAAAUUUUUUGAAUGAUCUGAAUGUUUG
Molecule: non-coding RNA, 2238 nt
Organism: Phoenix dactylifera (date palm)
Lineage: Eukaryota; Viridiplantae; Streptophyta; Magnoliopsida; Arecales; Arecaceae
Source: RefSeq, a predicted model, not a curated record